AUUGAACGCUGGCGGAAUGCUUUACACAUGCAAGUCGAACGGCAGCACGGACUUCGGUCUGGUGGCGAGUGGCGAACGGGUGAGUAAUGUAUCGGAACGUGCCCAGUCGUGGGGGAUAACGUAGUGAAAAUUACGCUAAUACCGCAUACGAUCUAUGGAUGAAAGCGGGGGAUCGCAAGACCUCGCGCGAUUGGAGCGGCCGAUAUCAGAUUAGGUAGUUGGUGGGGUAAAGGCCCACCAAGCCAACGAUCUGUAGCUGGUCUGAGAGGACGACCAGCCACACGGGAACUGGGACACGGUCCAGACUCCUACGGGAGGCAGCAGUGGGAAAUUUUGUACAAUGGGCGAAAGCCUGAUCCAGCCAUUCCGCGUUCAGGAUGAAGGCCCUCGGGUUGUAAACUGCUUUUGUACAGAACGAAAAGGUUUCUACUAAUACUAGGAGCUCAUGACGGUACUGUAAGAAUAAGCACCGGCUAACUACGUGCCAGCAGCCGCCGUAA
This 500-nucleotide ribosomal RNA is filed under the name uncultured bacterium. Its description in RNAcentral is "partial 16S ribosomal RNA". It matches the Rfam family "Bacterial small subunit ribosomal RNA", at positions 30 to 523 of the family's 1533-position model. The record is from RNAcentral.